This 1661-nucleotide long non-coding RNA is filed under the name Sus scrofa (pig). RNAcentral describes it as "lncRNA (ENSSSCG00060006084.1)". The record is from RNAcentral. Lineage: Eukaryota; Metazoa; Chordata; Mammalia; Artiodactyla; Suidae.
UUUUUUUUUUAGCUUUAUCUGUUGAAUCUCCAGUGCCUUCAGUGUAAAAAUAAUCUUUCUGCCCAAGUGGCCUAUUUUGGGGUGGCAUAUUCUAAUCCCCGUCCACCGGCAGACAGCAUUUUGCCCCCAUCCCCCCAGCUCCGUUUAUUUGCCUUAGGGUCUUACCCCAAGUACAGGAAUCCAUACCUUCCAUGGGCACCUGUUCUGUGCAGACGCCCUUGACCUUGAGUACCAGGACGGGAUUAGAAUGUGACGAGGGAGACAAGCCAGAGAGCCACAAAGAACAGACAGUGAGAGAGCAGACAGCUCCAUCCAUGCUGCUUUAGGAUUUGGGGAAUUUUCCAGGGAUUGUCAAAGCUCCAUAAAGCCAAGUUCCUUUUGACUUCCGAGGAGCUGGGCGUGGGGUCUUGGAAGCCUGCAGAAAACCUCUUAGCUGUUCCCCUGCAAAUGUACUUGACUUCUCAAGCUGCAUUCCAGAGGACUUCACCCUGAGGACUUUUUUUUCUUUUACAAAAAACCUGUUCUGGAGGCUGCGUGGGAGCCUGGCUGGAAGAAGGAACCGGCUCUGCCAGCCCCGGCGCCUGUGCUGGAGCCCGGCGAGCAAGGUCAGCCGGUGGCCGGCCACGUCCAUGGCCACGUCCCUGAUCAGGAAGGGGUUGCAGGCCCCCGGCUGGAGCAGGAGGGUAAGAGCCUGGCUCUGUGGGACCUGAGAAAGGCUCGGGGCAGGACAUGGGGCGGAGGGGCAGCCUGGGUCCUGAGGUGGUGGUGGGGGGGCGCUGUCAGCAGGGCUGGGCUCCAGAGCUGGCUGAUGAUUAACGGAAAGUGUGCCAGGCAGGGAGGCCACCUCGCUGUGCACAGCCGGCCCUGUGACGUGAGCAACUUCCUGGUAACAGGUGAGCACGGUCUGGAUUCCCAGUGGCUGACAGAUUGCUUCCUGCCUUUCUGUGGGGAGAGCACAGAGGCAAGAGAGAGGCCUUGGGGGAACGGAGACCCUUCGCUGAGGCCCCGAGGGGUGGACCCCCGGCCCCCGCCGAGGUGAGGAAGACUAUGCGAGAUGGAGGGCAGCUGCCGAGGCGUGCUGGCUGCGCUGGUCGUUCUGGCUGGGCUGGCAGGUAGGGACCUCGGGGCUUGGUGGAAAGUUCCUGGGCAUCCCAGCUGCAGUGGGUGAAGGGACUCGGAGGAGGCCACCAGGGUGUGUGGCUGACAGAAGAUGCUGAGCCCUCUUCCCACCCCCGACCCUGCCUCCUUGUGGGCUCCACUCCGGAAGGGUCCUGCAGGAGCUCCUGACCCCACCUCUCCUCCUCCAUCCCGGUCCUUGAUCCCGGAGGCUGCUUUGGCACCUUUCUCUUCCGUUUCUAUCUGGUCUUCAGGGAAGACGUGACGCCGGCGUCACCUCUUCCCUGAAGCCUUCCUGAGCUUGCAGUUUUCCGGGUGAUAUCCCAGUUCCCAUUACUGACAGAGCGAGGGACCUGUUGCCUGUGAGACCUCCCAGUUGUCCCCACAGCUCCUCUUCGUCCCGGAAGGUUCCCAGAGUCUCGGUGGAAAUGGACUCCAGGUGUCCCAGGCCAGGGUCUCAGAUCAGAGUUGCAGGAGACGGGGAGAUGGAGCAUGCCAACCCCGGGGGUCAUCGGGUAACGAGAGCUUAUACCCCAGCUUUCUUU